RNAcentral lists this ribosomal RNA (440 nucleotides) under uncultured bacterium. RNAcentral describes it as "partial 16S ribosomal RNA". It matches the Rfam family "Bacterial small subunit ribosomal RNA", at positions 338 to 795 of the family's 1533-position model. The record is from RNAcentral.
CCUACGGGAGGCUGCAGUAGGGAAUAUUGCUCAAUGGGGGAAACCCUGAAGCAGCAACGCCGCGUGGAGGAUGAAGGUUUUCGGAUUGUAAACUCCUUUUGUUAGAGAAGAUAAUGACGGUAUCUAACGAAUAAGCACCGGCUAACUCCGUGCCAGCAGCCGCGGUAAUACGGAGGGUGCAAGCGUUCCUCGGAAUCACUGGGCGUAAAGAGCGCGUAGGCGGGAUAGCAAGUCAGAUGUGAAAUCCUAUGGCUUAACCAUAGAACUGCAUUGGAAACUGUUAUUCUAGAGUAUGGGAGAGGUAGGUGGAAUUCUUGGUGUAGCGGUAAAAUGCGUAGAGAUCAAGAGGAAUACUCAUUGCGAAGGCGACCUGCUAGAACAUAACUGACGCUGAUGCGCGAAAGCGUGGGGAGCAAACAGGAUUAGAUACCCUUGUAGUC